Molecule: small RNA, 109 nt
Filed under: Flavobacteriaceae bacterium
Lineage: Bacteria; Pseudomonadati; Bacteroidota; Flavobacteriia; Flavobacteriales; Flavobacteriaceae
Description: 6S RNA
Rfam family: 6S-Flavo RNA
Source: RNAcentral
ACUCAACGCGAUAUCUAUAAAAGGGGUGCGUUUAAGUUGUAAAAGCAUGCUGCCCAGUUGCAGAUCCUUGACCAGCUUUUCAGCCCUAAAUCCUGUUCAUUAGGAGUUU